GAUCAAUUCUUUGUACAAAUUUAGUAAAUUGAUUAAAUUUAAUUUAAUUUAUAUACAGAUAUGUAUGCUUUGAGUUAUUUUAAAAUUUGAAAUAAAACAUGAUUUUAUGCAUGUAUUUCCAUCUUCCUGUUUCAACCCCUAUAUAAAGGCUAUUGAAUUUAGUUUACUGUAGGAAUAAGUUAUUUAAAAAAAAAAUGUUAUUCUUGUCUGAUUAGUUAUUAAUAUUGACUUUUUAUUAUCACAUAUAAGGAUGUGCUUUAGAUUUUAAUUAGAUUGAUAAAUUAGGCCAAAAGUUUAUAAAAUUAGUUAAUUACGAAUUGUUGCAAACUAUUAAGUUUUGCUUAAACUUCCAGGAAUUUUGAAUGGAGGCGUUUUAUUUAUAAGUGUAUACAUAUGAUUGAUCAUACGAUGUCAGAAUAAGGUUUAAAUUAGACCCUUAUAAAAUUAUUCUAUUUAUUGAAUUAGGUGCGGGGAAUUUAAGAUUUUCAUCUCGGAAUUUGUUGACUUUAUUGUCUACGACAUUAAGUUUUGCAGUUCCAGAGUCGAAGUGGCCAUGGAAGUGGAGAAUGACUAGAGAUUUAGUAUUUCUAUGAAAAUUUAAGUUGAACUUGUCACUUUUCAGUUUAUCGUUUUUAUUUCAUGUCACCAUACAAGUUGUUGGGCAAGUGGAUUUUGAAUUAUUUUAAUCUUCGAUAGUCAAGAAAUUUUAUUUUA
This is a long non-coding RNA of Salvia miltiorrhiza (redroot sage), 714 nucleotides long. RefSeq lists it as uncharacterized. The record is from RefSeq and is a predicted model, not a curated record. The transcript is spliced from 2 exons. NCBI's taxonomy places the organism in Eukaryota, Viridiplantae, Streptophyta, Magnoliopsida, Lamiales, Lamiaceae.